Molecule: small nuclear RNA, 107 nt
Filed under: Propithecus coquereli (Coquerel's sifaka)
Lineage: Eukaryota; Metazoa; Chordata; Mammalia; Primates; Indriidae
Source: RNAcentral
GUGCUCACUUCGACAGCACAUAUACUAAAAUUGGGACAAUACAGAUAAGAUCAGCAUGGGUCCUGCGCAAGGAUGACAUGCAAACUUGUGAAGCGUUCCAUACUUUA